CCUACGGGAGGCAGCAGUAAGGAAUAUUGGACAAUGGUGGCAACACUGAUCCAGCCAUGCCGCGUGCAGGAUGACGGUUCUAUGAAUUGUAAACUGCUUUUAUACGGGAAAAAACCUUUGAACGUGAUUCAGAGCUGAUUGUACCGUAAGAAUAAGGAUCGGCUAACUUCGUGCCAGCAGCCGCGGUAAGACGAAGGAUCCAAGCGUUAUCCGGAUUUAUUGGGUUUAAAGGGUGCGUAGGCGGAAUAAUAAGUCAGUGGUGAAAGCCCAAAGCUCAACUUUGGAACUGCCAUUGAUACUGUUAUUCUUGAGUAUGUUUGAAGUGGGCGGAAUGUAUUGUGUAGCGGUGAAAUGCUUAGAUAUAAUACAGAACACCAAUUGCGAAGGCAGCUCACUAAACCAUAACUGACGCUGAGGCACGAAAGCAUGGGGAGCAAACAGGAUUAGAUACCCUGUAGUCCAUGCCCUAAACGUUGAAUACUCGAUAUGUGCGAUAUACUGUACGUGUCUAAGCGAAAGCAUUAAGUAUUCCACCUGGGGAGUACGNUCGCAGAGUGAAACUCAAAUGAAAUUGACGGNNGAGAGNGCGAGGACGACACGAGGGAGAGG
RNAcentral lists this ribosomal RNA (609 nucleotides) under uncultured bacterium. Its description in RNAcentral is "bacterial SSU rRNA". It matches the Rfam family "Bacterial small subunit ribosomal RNA", at positions 338 to 950 of the family's 1533-position model. The record is from RNAcentral.